AAGUAAAAGUCGUAACAAGGUUUCCGUAGGUGAACCUGCGGAAGGAUCAUUAUCGAGUUCAGAAUGUGGGCUUGAGCUGGCGCUUCGGCGCAAGUGCUCGGCCCCGCUCAUCCACUCAACCCCUGUGCACUUUAGAGGUGUGGUCCCCCGUCAUGGGAGCCGCUGGCGCAAGCCGGCUGGGAUUGCGCCUCGACCUUCACACAAACCCCUGAAAAGUAUAGUGAACGUGAAUCGCGUCAGCGAUGAAACUUAAUACAACUUUCAACAACGGAUCUCUUGGCUCUCGCAUCGAUGAAGAACGCAGCGAAAUGCGAUAAGUAAUGUGAAUUGCAGAAUUCAGUGAAUCAUCGAAUCUUUGAACGCACCUUGCGCUCCUUGGUAUUCCGAGGAGCAUGCCUGUUUGAGUGUCAUGAGCAUCAUCAACCUCCUGGUUUUGUUACCUGGGAGGCUUGGACUUGGGGGUUUGCUGGCUUCGCGGUCGGCUCCUCUGGAAUGCAUUAGCGGUCGCUGGGGCGUCCUCGGUGUGAUAAGUAUUUCACCUUGGGCGUCCUGUCGAGGCGGCCGCUUCCAACCGUCUUCGGACAACCUUUUGACAAUCUGACCUCAAAUCAGGUAGGACUACCCGCUGAACUUAAGCAU
Molecule: ribosomal RNA, 639 nt
Filed under: Tubulicrinis glebulosus
Lineage: Eukaryota; Fungi; Basidiomycota; Agaricomycetes; Hymenochaetales; Tubulicrinaceae
Description: eukaryotic LSU rRNA
Rfam family: 5.8S ribosomal RNA (bases 257-410)
Source: RNAcentral